Gasterosteus aculeatus aculeatus (three-spined stickleback) is the source of this 3191-nucleotide long non-coding RNA. The record is from Ensembl. Lineage: Eukaryota; Metazoa; Chordata; Actinopteri; Perciformes; Gasterosteidae.
AAGAAAGGUGCACAUUUUACAUAUUAGUAUGUGGGCUAAAUAAUGGUGCUAGUAUCGUAGAAGUGUUACAUUGCAAUGUAUCAUAUAUACACUGCAGACCUUGUUAUAAAAACAAAUAACAGCCUCCAUCUCAAUCACAUACACACAAGGCCUUCAGGCAUCUCCAUUGGAUCAAUACCGAAUGAGAAUGUUGACCUUUGACCGGUAAUGAUCCGACUCACAGCAGCGGGUAACCUUUAAGCCCUGAAUUAAGACUCUGACAUCACAGUUUGAAGGAAUAGUGGCGUAUAAAUCUUUAUAAAGGACAGCCGGCGAUAACAAUCAUGAUAGAACUUGUCUAACGUGACACUUCGGGUCUCAUCUCAUCUUCCCGCCUCGCCCCCCCCCCCCCACCUAGUCAUCCGAACACCGUGGUGUUUUCUGUACGGGUCCCUAUUGUCUUCAGACGUACAGUAUAUAUGCUUCGCGGCCCACUCCGCCUCGUAAUACCCCGUCUCCGGUGAGAGCGCUGCGGCAGCACCGGAGGCUCUAUUUUAAGUGCAGGCAGAGAGCUGCACGGCUAUAUUUAAUAAAAACGUCUCUGCACCAGCCUCCAGCCUCCCUCGCCGCGUCUGCCCCCGUUUGAGAGUUGGACAGAAGACAUGUCAGUCUCUCGGCCUCCCUCUUCGCUGGGGUCUUGUUGCGGGGGGGGGGGAGGCACGGGGGAGAAAGAGGCCGAGGGGAGGUGUGAUGGUGCGUGAGGUGAAUGUGUUUUCUCAGCUUUUUCAUUUCGUCUCCGAAAUAUUUUGCCCUUUCUAUGCAAAUUCCAUCUCUCCAUUACUACCCCCCCCCCCCCCCCCCCCCCCCACACACACACACACACACUCUUUCAUCUUCCUAAGUGCCUCUCAGCGGGCGAUUCAUGUUUGUAUGCACACCUCAUGUAUUGGAAAGGAAUAACUGAUCCGUUUUCUCUAGAAAACCUCAUGAAUUAGUUGAGCUGCAUCGAUCUUUUCUCGCUUCGAUUGCCUCUCUCUCGAUCCGCAGCCACGUGGAUCCGCGGAUGUGCAGCAGUCGUCGUCCCCCAGGUAGGCGCCGAGUUCCUCACGAGCGCCGCCCUCGGCUUUUAUUUCUGUCUCACAGAGCCGCGGGUUCGCUCUGUGAGCUUCUUAUUCCACGAUCAGCGCUCCGGCCCGUGGCUGCAGGCCCCCGGGCGCGUGGAGCGCAACGUGGCGGGCUGAGGGGGCACGUGACCAAAAAGAGGCGAGCCUUGAAUGCGCUCUGCGGAUCGGCGCCGCACGACUCCCCGCUGUGCAGCUCAGGCCCGAUUACCUGCAGCUGCGCGGCGCGGUCCACCGCAUGAAAUAUCCAUGAGUUGGGUUGGGCUCGCAGAUGCUACUGUACCUGCUGAGCCCCUUAACAAGCUUGUGUGUGUGUGUGUGUGUGUGUGUGUGUGUGUUGAGGGGGAGCUGUGGGAGACAGGGGGAAGGGUGCACGUGUCGUCCUGUGCCCCUGCAGACGGAGGGUGUUUGCGUGUUUGCUGCUGUGCGUCUGCGACCUGAAUGUUCCGGCGUGCGUAAAGCGUCUCACGUACGCCGUCGGGACUUUUACGAGGUGGCGGAGCGACAUUACGGGGGAGAGAGAAUCUGGGGGGAUGGGAGGAGAGUACGGGGGGCGCACCGUCAAACCCUUUGCUUUCCACGCAUGCGUGGGUGUCUGGUAAGAAACUUAUUGCACCGAAGCUCAGAGUCAACAUGUCUCACAUAAAGCGUUGGAGGACGACGGUGGAAAACAAGUGGGAGAUGGAGGUCAGGGACAAAGAUGGAUUAGAGGGAGAAAAAGAGAGCUGGCUGAGGCAGACGAGAAGAAGGAGGCAGGAGGAGCGGCGAGGCAAAGGUGCGUGGGAAUAGGGAGGAGAGGGAGGAGCGCAGAAGGAGGGGAGGUUGAGGGGAGCGCGGCAGGUAGAGUGUACAUCUGUCACCUCCUGCUCCUCCAAGCCAGCAAUGCCCUGGAGGAAGAGGAGGAGGAGGAGGAGGGAAAAGGGGCCACGAUGGCACCAGCAAGAGGAGCGUUACACAACAGCCCUUUACACAUUCGCCUUUAUUGAGAUCUAUAUAUAAAUAUACGUGCAUGUUAAACCUCGGAGUGGAGCGUAUUCCCUUUUUUCUUGUACCUCCAAAAGGGCACGCAGAGGCAGAGGCAUUUCUCUUUGACACGCGAGUCCAUUGUCAGAGGAGCCUCGCUUCCCAAGGAAGAGAGACGAGAGCAUCCGAGGAGAGCAGGUGACACGGCGAGGAGAGAGGAGCCGCACAGGCCCCCGACUUCACAGCUCCGCCGAGGUUGACUCUGUCCCAGAAACUUAUGAAUAACAUCCCUGUGUGUCAGCUGGUCUCAAAGCGCGCGCGUGUGUGUGUAUGUGUGUGGGCGGGAAGGUGUUAGGGUGUGAAAGCAAGAGAUGAAAAAGAACUGGCUGUGAAGUUGAACUUUUCAAAGCUACACACAGCUGUACAGUAGCAGUGCAGACACACACACACACACACACACACCGAGUCACAUUCACACACACACACACUCCCAUGUGGCCAGAAGACCCUUGUGUUAAACCCCUUCAAGCAAUUAAAGCACUUCGGCGAUAUCUCCGUGUCCAAUCACGAGAUUUAAGAUUACGGCCGUGACCAAUGGGGAUGAAACACUUCAACUCUGUCACGUAUUCAAACACUCGUGUUGGCUAACAGGGCGUGAAAAACCUGGAAUCUCUGCAACAAAUCCUAAAGUAUUCAGGUAAAUAAAGCAAUCGGAAACCCUGCUGACUCGCUGAUUUAUAUAACGGUUUAAAUCCGUAAUUCAUUAAUACGCAGAAGAGGUAAAACAACAGAAGUAGCUCGAGGAUUAAAUGCAUGACUUGUUAAACUUCAUAAAGAAACACUCUGAGAAAACAAUGUUCCUCUCGCCAACUAGUGAAAUAAAACCAAAGCAGGGAAAGUAAUUAGCACGCAGCAACUGGCGCUGACGACAGGCGCCAUUAGCGGAGAGAAGCUCCCACAGUUACCAGUCUGCUUCGCCGGUUUGCCUCAAAUAAAUUAUGCGAGGACUUGAUCGCAUCAUGUUGCUUUUAUGAAGCGUUUUUUAUGACGCAGUAUAUCGUCUGGCGGCUGCAUAUCACGCUGGACGUUUACUGCGCGGGGUGUGUGUGUGUGUCAGCCACGUGGGUU